Molecule: long non-coding RNA, 372 nt
Organism: Dendrobium catenatum
Lineage: Eukaryota; Viridiplantae; Streptophyta; Magnoliopsida; Asparagales; Orchidaceae
Exons: 2
Source: RefSeq, a predicted model, not a curated record
CUCAUCUCCAUUUAAACUAAUUUAGAACUAGAAAAAAAAUGAUUAUGGAUAACAGAAGGUGAAGAAGACAGAGAAACUGAACACAGGAGAGAUAAGAGGAAGGUCGGCCUUCCUCUCUACCACAGAAGCAAUUCUGAAGAUUCCCUUAUCUCUUUCUCUGCGUCUGUUUCUUCUAAAUCGUUUUUGCUUUAGGUUCUCUUCUUGCUCUGCAGAAGGUAAGCUGCAGGCUUCACAACCACCUCUCUCGCUUUCUUAGAACUCUUUUUCUUUUUUUAAAUAAUCAUGCAAUGAUGAUUCGGUGCAUUUAUAAUUUCAGAUAUGACUGUUUUUUAUGUGUUUGAUAAUUUGCUACAGUAUUUGAUUUACAUUUCA